Molecule: long non-coding RNA, 2787 nt
Organism: Carassius auratus (goldfish)
Lineage: Eukaryota; Metazoa; Chordata; Actinopteri; Cypriniformes; Cyprinidae
Source: Ensembl
AUGGCCUCCUCUGCUGCUCCAGCUCCAGCUGUGGCCUCCUUCUCAGCUCCAGCCGUGGCCUCCUCUGCUGCUCCAGCUCCAGCUCCAGCCGUGGCCUCUUCUGCUGCUCCAGCUCCAGCCGUGGCCUCCUCUGCUGCUCCAGCUCCAGCCGUGGCCUCCUUCUCAGCUCCAGUCGUGGCCUCCUCUGCUGCUCCAGCUCCAGCCGUGGCCUCCUUCUCAGCUCCAGCCGUGGCCUCCUCUGCUGCUCCAGCCGUGGCCUCCUCUGCUGCUCCAGCCGUGGCCUCCUCUGCUGCUCCAGCUCCAGCCGUGGCCUCCUCUGCUGCUCCAGCCGUGGCCUCCUCUGCUGCUCCAGCUCCAGCUCCAGCCGUGGCCUCCUUCUCAGCUCCAGCCGUGGCCUCCUCUGCUGCUCCAGCUCCAGCCGUGGCCUCCUCUGCUGCUCCAGCCGUGGCCUCCUCUGUUGCUCCAGCUCCAGCUCCAGCCGUGGCCUCCUUCUCAGCUCCAGCCGUGGCCUCCUCUGCUGCUCCAGCUCCAGCCGUGGCCUCCUCUGCUGCUCCAGCUGUGGCCUCCUUCUCAGCUCCAGCCGUGGCCUCCUCUGCUGCUCCAGCUCCAGCUGUGGCCUCCUUCUCAGCUCCAGCUGUGGCCUCCUUCUCAGCUCCAGCCGUGGCCUCCUCUGCUGCUCCUGCUCCAGCCGUGGCCUCCUCUGCUGCUCCAGCUCCAGCUCCAGCCGUGGCCUCCUUCUCAGCUCCAGCCGUGGCCUCCUCUGCUGCUCCAGCUCCAGCCGUGGCCUCCUCUGCUGCUCCAGCCGUGGCCUCCUCUGCUGCUCCAGCUCCAGCUCCAGCCGUGGCCUCCUUCUCAGCUCCAGCCGUGGCCUCCUCUGCUGCUCCAGCUCCAGCCGUGGCCUCCUCUGCUGCUCCAGCUGUGGCCUCCUUCUCAGCUCCAGCCGUGGCCUCCUCUGCUGCUCCAGCUCCAGCCGUGGCCUCCUUCUCAGCUCCAGCCGUGGCCUCCUCUGCUGCUCCAGCCGUGGCCUCCUUCUCAGCUCCAGCCGUGGCCUCCUUCUCAGCUCCAGCCGUGGCCUCCUCUGCUGCUCCAGCCGUGGCCUCCUCUGCUGCUCCAGCUCCAGCCGUGGCCUCCUCUGCUGCUCCAGCUCCAGCCGUGGCCUCCUUCUCAGCUCCAGCCGUGGCCUCCUCUGCUGCUCCAGCCGUGGCCUCCUCUGCUGCUCCAGCUCCAGCCGUGGCCUCCUCUGCUGCUCCAGCUCCAGCUGUGGCCUCCUUCUCAGCUCCAGCCGUGGCCUCCUUCUCAGCUCCAGCUGUGGCCUCCUUCUCAGCUCCAGCCAUGGCCUCCUCUGCUGCUCCAGCUCCAGCUGUGGCCUCCUUCUCAGCUCCAGCCGUGGCCUCCUCUGCUGCUCCAGCUCCAGCUCCAGCCGUGGCCUCUUCUGCUGCUCCAGCUCCAGCCGUGGCCUCCUCUGCUGCUCCAGCUCCAGCCGUGGCCUCCUUCUCAGCUCCAGUCGUGGCCUCCUCUGCUGCUCCAGCUCCAGCCGUGGCCUCCUUCUCAGCUCCAGCCGUGGCCUCCUCUGCUGCUCCAGCUGUGGCCUCCUCUGCUGCUCCAGCCGUGGCCUCCUCUGCUGCUCCAGCUCCAGCCGUGGCCUCCUCUGCUGCUCCAGCCGUGGCCUCCUCUGCUGCUCCAGCUCCAGCUCCAGCCGUGGCCUCCUUCUCAGCUCCAGCCGUGGCCUCCUCUGCUGCUCCAGCUCCAGCCGUGGCCUCCUCUGCUGCUCCAGCCGUGGCCUCCUCUGCUGCUCCAGCUCCAGCUCCAGCCGUGGCCUCCUUCUCAGCUCCAGCCGUGGCCUCCUCUGCUGCUCCAGCUCCAGCCGUGGCCUCCUCUGCUACUCCAGCUGUGGCCUCCUUCUCAGCUCCAGCCGUGGCCUCCUCUGCUGCUCCAGCUCCAGCUGUGGCCUCCUUCUCAGCUCCAGCUGUGGCCUCCUUCUCAGCUCCAGCCGUGGCCUCCUCUGCUGCUCCAGCUCCAGCCGUGGCCUCCUCUCCUGCUCCAGCCGUGGCCUCCUCUGCUGCUCCAGCUCCAGCUCCAGCCGUGGCCUCCUUCUCAGCUCCAGCCGUGGCCUCCUCUGCUGCUCCAGCUCCAGCCGUGGCCUCCUCUGCUGCUCCAGCCGUGGCCUCCUCUGCUGCUCCAGCUCCAGCUCCAGCCGUGGCCUCCUUCUCAGCUCCAGCCGUGGCCUCCUCUGCUGCUCCAGCUCCAGCCGUGGCCUCCUCUGCUGCUCCAGCUGUGGCCUCCUUCUCAGCUCCAGCCGUGGCCUCCUCUGCUGCUCCAGCUCCAGCCGUGGCCUCCUUCUCAGCUCCAGCCGUGGCCUCCUCUGCUGCUCCAGCCGUGGCCUCCUUCUCAGCUCCAGCCGUGGCCUCCUCUGCUGCUCCAGCUCCAGCCGUGGCCUCCUUCUCAGCUCCAGCCGUGGCCUCUUUCUCAGCUCCAGCCGUGGCCUCCUCUGCUGCUCCAGCCGUGGCCUCCUCUGCUGCUCCAGCUCCAGCCGUGGCCUCCUCUGCUGCUCCAGCUCCAGCCGUGGCCUCCUUCUCAGCUCCAGCCGUGGCCUCCUCUGCUGCUCCAGCCGUGGCCUCCUCUGCUGCUCCAGCUCCAGCCGUGGCCUCCUCUGCUGCUCCAGCUCCAGCCGUGGCCUCCUUCUCAGCUCCAGUUGUGGCCUCCUCUCCUACUCCAGCUCCAGCAGUGCCCUCUUCUGCUGCUCCAGCCAUGGCCUCCUUCUCAGCUCCAGCCGUGGCCUCCUUCUGA